UUUAUAAAUGAUGACUUUUACCGCCCCAGUCUGAUGUACUGAUGACUGGUAAACUUACUGAAAUAAA
Molecule: small nucleolar RNA, 67 nt
Organism: Ciona intestinalis (vase tunicate)
Lineage: Eukaryota; Metazoa; Chordata; Ascidiacea; Phlebobranchia; Cionidae
Source: Ensembl